AUACCCGUUGAUCCUGCGGGAGACCGCUGCUAUUCGGAUUCGGUUAAGCCAUGCAAGUCUGGGGGAGCAAUCCACCGGCGCACGGCUCAGUAACACGUCGAUAAUCUGCCCUGAGGUCCGGGACAGCCUUGGGAAACUGAGGGUAAGCCCGGAUAGGGGAAGAGCUCUGGAAUGAGCCUUCCUGGAAAAGCAAUGCCUCAGGAUGAGUCGGCGGCAGAUUAGGCUGUUGGCGGGGUAACGGCCCACCAAACCAAAGAUCUGUAGGGGCUCUGAGAGGAGUUGCCCCGAGAAGGGCACUGAGAUACUGGCCCUAGCCCUACGGGGUGCAGCAGGCGCGAAAACUCUGCAAUGUACGCAAGUAUGACAGGGGAAUCCGAAGUGCUUAGCUUAGCUAGGCUUUUGCCAAGCUUAAAGCGUUUGGCGAAUAAGGGGUGGGAAAGACUGGUGCCAGCCGCCGCGGUAACACCAGCGCCCCAAGUGGGGGUCUCGCUUAUUGGGUCUAAAGCGUCCGUAGCUGGCCUGUUAAAUCUCUUGUGAAAUUGUCCGGCUCAACCGGGCAGCGUGCAGGAGAGACUGGCAGGCUGGGGACCGGGAAGGGUUAGGGGUAUGUCGGGGGGAGCGGUAAAAUGCUAUAAUCCCCGAUAGACCACCUGUGGCGAAGGCGCCUAACUAGAACGGGUCCGACAGUGAGGGACGAAAGCCAGGGGAGCAAACCGGAUUAGAUAGAGCUUUUUGCCGCAACGCUCACGCGUUGCUCAAAAACAAGCGGGAACAAAGUUCCCGGUGCACAGGAAACCCGUGUUUCCUUGUGCCUCGGAAAAUGCGUUCUAGUGCAGCAUUCCCUUCGGGAAGCUGCACGGACCUUACGUGCGUUUGCUGAUAAAAUCAACUGCACAGCCGAGAGAGAAUGGCAAAAUCAGCUCCUAAGUACCCGAGUAGUCCUGGCCGUAAACGCUGCGAGCUAGGUGUCGCGCAUUCUCCGAGAACGCGCGGUGUCGAAGCGAAGGUGUUAAGCUCGCCACCUGGGAAGUACGGUCGCAAGACUGAAACUUAAAGGAAUAGGCGGGGGAGCACUACAAGGGGUGCGGCGUGCGGUUUAAUUCAACUCCACACGGGGAAUCUCACCAGGGGCGACGGCAGGAUGAAGGUCAGUCUAAAGGGCUUACCUGACGAGCCGAGAGGUAGUGCAUGGCCGUCGUCAGCUCGUGCCGUAAGGUGUCUUGUUAAGUCAAGCAACGAGCGAGACCUGUAUCCACAAUUGCGAACGACCCAAUCUGGGAAUCGUGCACAUUGUGGGGACUGCCUUGGAAACAAGGAGGAAGGUGCAGGCAACGGUAGGUCUGUAUGCUCCGAAUCUUCUGGGCUACACGCGCGCAACACUGGUGCAGACAAUGGGAUGCAACUCCGAAAGGAGAAGCGAAUCCUCGAACCUGCAUCGUAGUUCAGAUUGAGGGUUGUAACUCACCCUCAUGACGUUGGAAUCCCUAGUAAUCGAACGUUAUCAGCGUUCGGUGAAUAUGUCCCUGCUCCUUGCACUCACCGAAAGAAAUGUGCCAGGCAGUUCACAGAGCUAAUUGGUGAAAAUCCAAUCUU
This 1593-nucleotide ribosomal RNA is filed under the name Candidatus Woesearchaeota archaeon. RNAcentral describes it as "bacterial SSU rRNA". It matches the Rfam family "Archaeal small subunit ribosomal RNA". Lineage: Archaea; Nanobdellati; Candidatus Woesearchaeota. The record is from RNAcentral.